RNAcentral lists this ribosomal RNA (500 nucleotides) under uncultured bacterium. RNAcentral's name for it is "partial 16S ribosomal RNA". It matches the Rfam family "Bacterial small subunit ribosomal RNA", at positions 28 to 507 of the family's 1533-position model. The record is from RNAcentral.
GACGAACGCUGGCGGCGUGCCUAAUACAUGCCAGUCGAGCGGACUUGAAGGAGUGCUUGCACUCCUGAGAGUUAGCGGCGGACGGGUGAGUAACACGUAGGCAACCUGCCCUCAAGACUGGGAUAACUACCGGAAACGGUAGCUAAUACCGGAUAAUUUAUUACAUAGCAUUAUGUGAUAAUGAAAGACGGAGCAAUCUGUCACUUGGGGAUGGGCCUGCGGCGCAUUAGCUAGUUGGUGGGGUAACGGCCCACCAAGGCGACGAUGCGUAGCCGACCUGAGAGGGUGAACGGCCACACUGGGACUGAGACACGGCCCAGACUCCUACGGGAGGCAGCAGUAGGGAAUCUUCCGCAAUGGGCGAAAGCCUGACGGAGCAACGCCGCGUGAGUGAUGAAGGUUUUCGGAUCGUAAAGCUCUGUUGCCAAGGAAGAACGUCUCAUAGAGUAACUGCUAUGAGAGUGACGGUACUUGAGAAGAAAGCCCCGGCUAACUACGUG